GUCAAUUCAGUCGUAUCCAGUCUGUUCCCCAUCCUUGUUACUACUCUGUCUUGCCAGAAACUUGACCAUCCUAUGCUGUUCAACGAGGCAGUAAUUCAAAGGAUCACAGACAUCAAAGCCUUCGUUCUUUCCGAAUUCACUCCUGUUCCAUUCCGGUUGGCUCCUUCUGUGACCGAGGACUUUUAGUCUUGGUGGCAAUCCUAUUACGCCGAGGUUUUAGAUGCAACUCCUUCUGACCGUGCGUCUACCCACAACAAUGGUUCUAAUGCAGCCUCAUUUUCUGAAUUGCAGAGUCAGGGCUACCGGAAAUGCCGUCUCUGAUCUUUUAAAGCUGCACUUCCGGCUAGCACUGUUCAGGAGUCUUCUAACACCCCUGAUGAUGUUCAAGCUGUUGAGGAGCUGGCUGUUCUGCUGACAGGUAGUCUUCCAGAGGAACAAGUCUCCCUGAAAAGGUUGAGGCGAGGCAAACGGUCUGCAACCACUCCGACUAAGCUAGCUUCCAUGGCAUCCAAGCAGUCUCGGUCAGCGGUGCUUAUAUCCGAAUCCCCUUCCAAGAAAUCUGCAGAAGACACCACUCUGCCCUUGCAUCACCAUACUGGCACUUCUGUGGUUUAUGGUGCACUUAAAGGCAAAAGUCAAGUUUCCUAUCAACCCCCUGCUCCCGUUUUGGCUGUAGUUCCAUCUCCUCCGGCCUCUGAAGGGAUUUUAUUGGCAUGCUCUCUCGCCUGAAUCUUCUAAGGUCCUCCCGGGCUCAUUCAUCCAAGACGGCCUUAGUGCAUCUUCCCAGGUCGUCUCUGUUAUCGACCGUGUGAAAGCCCUAUAUGAAGCCUCUGUCAAUAUGUCUGCGAGGGAGUUUUGGAGGAGUGGGCAGACUGUUGAUUUGGAGCAGAUUGCGAAUGAGAUUUUGGCUGAUCCUACUCUCUCGUCAAAACAUGUCUGUGGAGAUCUUCUCAAGGAUUUGAGCAGGAUGAUCGGGAGUUCUAUUCCUGAGGCAAUCGAUGUUUUGGACUCGACUCAAUGAUCUCAGGACAUUCAAAAAGCCUCUUCUAAGAAGGUGGAUGCUGCGCAACCCAAACUGGAGCGUUUGAUGGAGGCUGCAACAGCUUCUCAGGCCAAAAUUAAACGCCUAGACAAAGAGAUCAGUAAUCUCCGAAGGGAGAGAGAAGAAGAUAGAGUCUAAUGCUUAGGCGUUUCAGGAACUCUUUGGGGAAGUUACCUUGUUGGCUGAAGGUCUACAAGCCUCUGAACCGCAUGUUGAAGCCUGGGAGAGGGAUCUAAUUGAAGUCACCCAUCAGUUAUCUCAGCUGGAUUACAAACUGCAGGCUGGUUGGUCUCAGAUAGCUGACCGCUUCAACUUUGAGGCCUGCGAGCCAGAAAAUCUAAGGGGAAUGCCCCCUAGUAUGUUUGGAUGAUUUUCUUUCCUCUUUCUGCAUCUUCUCCCCUUUUUGGUGAUGAACGUUUAUGGUCGUUCUUUUAAGUAAUGAAGCUCUUGUCAUUUUA
Long non-coding RNA from Macadamia integrifolia, 1500 nucleotides. RefSeq lists it as uncharacterized. Lineage: Eukaryota; Viridiplantae; Streptophyta; Magnoliopsida; Proteales; Proteaceae. The record is from RefSeq and is a predicted model, not a curated record. The transcript has 3 exons.